AUUGAACGCUGGCGGCAGGCCUAACACAUGCAAGUCGAGCGGAUGAAGGGAGCUUGCUCCUGGAUUCAGCGGCGGACGGGUGAGUAAUGCCUAGGAGUCUGCCUGGUAGUGGGGGAUAACGUCCGGAAACGGGCGCUAAUACCGCAUACGUCCUGAGGGAGAAAGUGGGGGAUCUUCGGACCUCACGCUAUCAGAUGAGCCUAGGUCGGAGUAGCUAGUUGGUGGGGUAAAGGCCUACCAAGGCGACGAUCCGUAACUGGUCUGAGAGGAUGAUCAGUCACACUGGAACUGAGACACGGUCCAGACUCCUACGGGAGGCAGCAGUGGGGAAUAUUGGACAAUGGGCGAAAGCCUGAUCCAGCCAUGCCGCGUGUGUGAAGAAGGUCUUCGGAUUGUAAAGCACUUUAAGUUGGGAGGAAGGGCAGUAAGUUAAUACCUUGCUGUUUUGACGUUACCAACAGAAUAAGCACCGGCUAACUUCGUG
This 484-nucleotide ribosomal RNA is filed under the name uncultured bacterium. RNAcentral's name for it is "partial 16S ribosomal RNA". It matches the Rfam family "Bacterial small subunit ribosomal RNA", at positions 30 to 507 of the family's 1533-position model. The record is from RNAcentral.